GUAUCCUUGGUGUAAUGGUAGCAUAAUGGUCUCCAAAACCAUUGGUUAGGGUUCAAGUCCUUAAGGGUAUGCA
RNAcentral lists this transfer RNA (73 nucleotides) under Crassvirales sp. RNAcentral's name for it is "tRNA-Trp". It matches the Rfam family "tRNA". From Rfam's summary of the family: Transfer RNA (tRNA) molecules are approximately 80 nucleotides in length. Their secondary structure includes four short double-helical elements and three loops (D, anti-codon, and T loops). Further hydrogen bonds mediate the characteristic L-shaped molecular structure. tRNAs have two regions of fundamental functional importance: the anti-codon, which is responsible for specific mRNA codon recognition, and the 3' end, to which the tRNAs corresponding amino acid is attached (by aminoacyl-tRNA synthetases). tRNAs cope with the degeneracy of the genetic code in two manners: having more than one tRNA (with a specific anti-codon) for a particular amino acid; and 'wobble' base-pairing, i.e. permitting non-standard base-pairing at the 3rd anti-codon position. The record is from RNAcentral. Lineage: Duplodnaviria; Heunggongvirae; Uroviricota; Caudoviricetes; Crassvirales.